This 402-nucleotide ribosomal RNA is filed under the name uncultured Variibacter sp. RNAcentral describes it as "bacterial SSU rRNA". It matches the Rfam family "Bacterial small subunit ribosomal RNA", at positions 353 to 772 of the family's 1533-position model. Lineage: Bacteria; Pseudomonadati; Pseudomonadota; Alphaproteobacteria; Hyphomicrobiales; Nitrobacteraceae. The record is from RNAcentral.
AGUGGGGAAUAUUGGACAAUGGGCGCAAGCCUGAUCCAGCCAUGCCGCGUGAGUGAUGAAGGCCUUAGGGUUGUAAAGCUCUUUCGUCAGGGAAGAUAAUGACGGUACCUGAAGAAGAAGCCCCGGCUAACUUCGUGCCAGCAGCCGCGGUAAUACGAAGGGGGCUAGCGUUGCUCGGAAUCACUGGGCGUAAAGCGCACGUAGGCGGCUUUCUAAGUCAGGGGUGAAAUCCUGGAGCUCAACUCCAGAACUGCCUUUGAUACUGGAGAGCUUGAGUUCGGGAGAGGUGAGUGGAACUGCGAGUGUAGAGGUGAAAUUCGUAGAUAUUCGCAAGAACACCAGUGGCGAAGGCGGCUCACUGGCCCGAUACUGACGCUGAGGUGCGAAAGCGUGGGGAGCAAA